RNAcentral lists this ribosomal RNA (380 nucleotides) under uncultured eukaryote. RNAcentral's name for it is "partial 18S ribosomal RNA". It matches the Rfam family "Eukaryotic small subunit ribosomal RNA", at positions 592 to 976 of the family's 1831-position model. The record is from RNAcentral.
CAAUAGCGUAUAUUAAAGUUGUUGCAGUUAAAAAGCUCGUAGUUGGAUUUGUGGCGUACGGUGUGUUCCGGGCACUUGUUGUCUGAGUAACCUGCUGUUGCCAUCCUUGGGUGGAACCUGUGUGGCAUUAGGUUGUCGUGCAGGGGAUGCCCAUCAUUUACUGUGAAAAAAUUAGAGUGUUCAAAGCAGGCUUAUGCCGUUGAAUAUAUUAGCAUGGAAUAAUGAGAUAGGACUUUUUAGCUAUUUUGUUGGUUUGCGCAAAGAGGUAAUGAUUAAUAGGGACAGUUGGGGGUAUUCGUAUUCCAUUGUCAGAGGUGAAAUUCUUGGAUUUUUGGAAGACGAACUACUGCGAAAGCAUUUACCAAGGAUGUUUUCAUUAA